RNAcentral lists this ribosomal RNA (253 nucleotides) under uncultured bacterium. RNAcentral's name for it is "partial 16S ribosomal RNA". It matches the Rfam family "Bacterial small subunit ribosomal RNA", at positions 524 to 776 of the family's 1533-position model. The record is from RNAcentral.
UACAUGGGGUGCAAACGUUGCUCGGAAUCAUUGGGCGUAAAGCGCGCGUAGGCGGUUACUUAAGUUGGAUGUGAAAGCCCUCGGCUUAACUGAGGAAGUGCAUCCAAAACUGAGUAGCUAGAGUACGAAAGAGGGUCGCGGAAUUCCCGGUGUAGAGGUGAAAUGCGCAGAUAUCGGGAGGAACACCUAUGGCGAAGGCAGCCCGCUGGGACGUUACUGACGCUGAGACGCGAAAGCGUGGGGAGCAAACAGG